CGUAUCACCCAAGACAACUUUGCGGAGUUGACGAUUGACGGAGCGAAGCGACGUCAAAGCGUUCAUUAAAGUCGAGUUGGCUUAGGGAUACGUUCGUUGGGUAGGGGAGCGUUCUGUAAGCCUGUGAAGGUGGCCUGUGAGGGUUGCUGGAGGUAUCAGAAGUGCGAAUGCUGACAUAAGUAACGAUAAAGCGGGUGAAAAGCCCGCUCGCCGGAAGACCAAGGGUUCCUGUCCAACGUUAAUCGGGGCAGGGUGAGUCGACCCCUAAGGCGAGGCCGAAAGGCGUAGUCGAUGGGAAACGGGUUAAUAUUCCCGUACUUGGUGUUACUGCGAAGGGGGGACGGAGAAGGCUAUGUUGGCCGGGCGACGGUU
This 372-nucleotide ribosomal RNA is filed under the name Salmonella enterica subsp. enterica serovar Hadar. RNAcentral's name for it is "partial 23S ribosomal RNA". It matches the Rfam family "Bacterial large subunit ribosomal RNA", at positions 1154 to 1503 of the family's 2925-position model. Lineage: Bacteria; Pseudomonadati; Pseudomonadota; Gammaproteobacteria; Enterobacterales; Enterobacteriaceae. The record is from RNAcentral.